This 440-nucleotide ribosomal RNA is filed under the name uncultured bacterium. Its description in RNAcentral is "partial 16S ribosomal RNA". It matches the Rfam family "Bacterial small subunit ribosomal RNA", at positions 338 to 795 of the family's 1533-position model. The record is from RNAcentral.
CCUACGGGCGGCAGCAGUGGGGAAUAUUGCACAAUGGGGGAAACCCUGAUGCAGCGAAGCCGCGUGAGUGAAGAAGUAUUUAGGUAUGUAAAGCCCUGUCAGCAGGGAAGAAAAUGACGGUACCUGACCAAGAAGCCCCGGCUAACUACGUGCCAGCAGCCGCGGUAAUACGUAGGGGGCAAGCGUUAUCCGGAUUUACUGGGUGUAAAGGGAGCGUAGGCGGCAGGGCAAGUCUGGAGUGAAAGGCGGGGGCUCAACCCCAGGACUGCUGUGGAAACUGCCAGGCUGGAGUGCAGGAGAGGUAAGUGGAAUUCCUAGUGUAGCGGUGAAAUGCGUAGAUAUUAGGAGGAACACCAGUGGCGAAGGCGGCUUACGGGACUGUAACUGACGUUGAGGCUCGAAAGCGUGGGGAGCAAACAGGAUUAGAUACCCUGGUAGUC